RNAcentral lists this transfer RNA (72 nucleotides) under Chelonia mydas (Green sea turtle). It matches the Rfam family "tRNA". From Rfam's summary of the family: Transfer RNA (tRNA) molecules are approximately 80 nucleotides in length. Their secondary structure includes four short double-helical elements and three loops (D, anti-codon, and T loops). Further hydrogen bonds mediate the characteristic L-shaped molecular structure. tRNAs have two regions of fundamental functional importance: the anti-codon, which is responsible for specific mRNA codon recognition, and the 3' end, to which the tRNAs corresponding amino acid is attached (by aminoacyl-tRNA synthetases). tRNAs cope with the degeneracy of the genetic code in two manners: having more than one tRNA (with a specific anti-codon) for a particular amino acid; and 'wobble' base-pairing, i.e. permitting non-standard base-pairing at the 3rd anti-codon position. The record is from Rfam by way of RNAcentral. Lineage: Eukaryota; Metazoa; Chordata; Testudines; Cheloniidae.
AGUAGGAUGGCCUGGUGGUUAGGGUGCUAGUCUGGGAUAUGGGAGACCUGGGUUCCAUUCCCUGUUCUGUUG